This is a non-coding RNA of Pelobates cultripes (western spadefoot toad), 237 nucleotides long. NCBI's taxonomy places the organism in Eukaryota, Metazoa, Chordata, Amphibia, Anura, Pelobatidae. The record is from the annotation of a GenBank genome assembly.
AUCAGCUCCGCUGCGGGGGGAUCCCUCAUACCACAGUUCAUGGCUGAACUGGCUUUAUUAUAUUUAUGGAUGAAGGUUGUAACAGUUUAGGACCAUUAGAGCCCACUAAAUAUGUGGGGACAAUUAUUUGGGUCUGGAGCUCAAAACGUUAAGAGUGUUUAUCAACAUCCACUUAUUUGGCGAAAAAGCUGCUAGUUCAUGACUCAUUUGAUUAUUUGGUGCCGAUAUAUAUCUUUU